RNAcentral lists this long non-coding RNA (1160 nucleotides) under Parus major (Great Tit). RNAcentral's name for it is "lncRNA (ENSPMJG00000017635.1)". Lineage: Eukaryota; Metazoa; Chordata; Aves; Passeriformes; Paridae. The record is from RNAcentral.
GUUUUACAUCCCAGUGGAACUGCUUUGGAAGUUGUCCACUACUUGUGAUCCAGACAGCUGAGCUGUUUAUGAGAUGGACAUUAUUUGAAUUCUCACAUCUCCUUUCAUCAGGGGUCAAGGCACUGCCAUUUGCUGUUGGGCACAUUUGUGUGGUUCAGCUAAGAAGAUUUUUCUGUGAUGGCUGCUGGCUCAAUAGCUCUGGAAGCAAGAGCUGAAAAUUCAAGCACUGGAAUGCAAGAUAAAUAUUCUUCUGCCAGCUGGUGAAGGAGAAGUGGGGACAGGUGAUGAUAAAGGACUGCUUUAUCAAAGAAAAUCGGGUUCAAUUAAAAGAGAGGGAAGAGAGAGGUAAAGGGACUGACAAUUGUGGUUUUCUGGUUAGAAGGGGAUACUGUAGAAUGAACAGCAAAACAGGAAGAGAGGUGAGGCUGUGAAAAAAACCAACUGAAAGCAUAAAAAGUGAUAGGAAAGAUAUAUUGUGUGUUAGGGAUUGGCCAGGAUUAGAAAAAGUCAAAAUCCAAGAGAAAAACGAAGGUCAUGUCUGAUUUUUAAGGAGGAAGGAGAGGAAUAGCAUUUAAAUAUGAGAAUUUGAAUAGGGAAAAUUUAUGAUGGUGGUGGAAGUGGAAAUGGGGAGAAAUACUAGAAAAGAGACAUAAAAAAAAAAAAAAAGGAAGAAAACUCCGUAUUUUACUCUGGCUUUAAUGACUCAGUAAUUACAAUUGGGUGGUACAGAUUUGGAGCCCUUUUCAUUUAAAAUGGAAUAUGUCAAUGGAGGACAAAUUAAACAUCUGAUAUCUGGAAGCAUUGCAGGUGGUGAAUUAGAAAGUUAAAUACAUCUUGUCCAGCCUCCAUGGGUAUUCACUUGUAAUACCACACCAAUUAUGCAGAUCUUCCUAUUCAUAAAACACACUUGUGUAAGCAUUACCAUCAUAAAUGACCCAUUCUUGGAAGAUGACAAAGAAUACAUUGUAAGGGCUUUAUAAAACAAUUAUAACAGGUGAAAAACUCCUGCAUUCCUUUCUCGUUAUGUUUUAGGCACUUCUGGGAACAAGAAAGGUACUGAGUUCCUUAUAUACUUAACCACUACCAUGCAAUUUUGAGCCUGACAAACUAGCUAGACCUCAGCUAAGCUAAGGGAAAAUAAAGUCCUCAUUGUUAAGCCA